RNAcentral lists this ribosomal RNA (2520 nucleotides) under Malassezia furfur. RNAcentral's name for it is "LSU rRNA". It matches the Rfam family "Bacterial large subunit ribosomal RNA", at positions 1 to 2608 of the family's 2925-position model. The record is from RNAcentral. Lineage: Eukaryota; Fungi; Basidiomycota; Malasseziomycetes; Malasseziales; Malasseziaceae.
AAUAUAGGCAUCAUAAACAAUAUGGAGUAUACAAUUAAGUAAUAAAAGGGAUUCGUAAGGAUACCUAGCAGAUAUAUUUAAAAGGAUAUAUUUAUAAAAAGUUGAAGUGAAUAAUUUGAAUACUUUAACAAUCCUAAGGAAAACCAAUAUAAUAAAAUACGUUGGGAAUUAAAACAUUUAAGUACCAAUAGGAAAGGAAAUCAAACGAGACUUCUGGAGUAAUGGUGAGUGAAACAGAAUGAGCCUUAUUCUUUUGUCUAUUCUGUUCCAAUGGACUCAUUAAUAUUGUGGAAUUCAAUAUUAUGCUGUGUAUAUUCACAGUUACCAAAGACGGUGAUAGUCCGGUGAUAGUUUUUUAGUCCAAUGAAUAGACGAGGAAUUAAAUAAAGUAAUAUGGAGACGGCUGCUCUGUAUGAAUUUAUAAUAUCUAAGAAAUUAGAUAAUGGGAUACCAUUCUCAAAGGCUAAGUAUAAUAUAUCUAGCGAUAGUGAAGAGUAACGUGAGUGAAAGGUGAAAAGUAAGUGUAUGACUAGUGAAAGAGAUCUUGAAUUACGAAUCCUACAAGCAGUUAGAGUCUAAUAGAAUUAGAUGAUAACGUACCUUUUGCAUAAUGGGUCAGCAAGUUAAUUUUCAAUGCAAGACUAAUAAGUCCUAGUGAAAACGUCUAUGUUUUCUUUAUUUAAAGAUAAAGAAUAUAUGGGUAGAGUAUUGAGAAUUAGAUCCGAAACCAGAUGAUCUUUUUAUGACCAGGUUUAAAAGGACCGAACGUAUGAAUGUUGCAGUAUUCUGCGAUGAGUUGUGAAAAGGGGUGAAAUGCCAAUCUAAUCUGGUGAUAGCUGAUAUUCUGCGAAAUCUAUUUUAGUAGAAAGUAUAUGUAGAUAUAUUUCUGUAUAGCACUGAUUUCCAUUUCUCGUAACCUAUUAGGUUGCACAUAGAAUAAAUUAGGGGGUUAUAAACUCUACUAUUGGAAGUUAACCUCAGAAGGAGAUACUAUCGGUCAUAUACUGACAGUCUAUUUGUGAUAAGGUAAAUAGACAAAAGGGAAACAGCCCAGAUCAUAUAUUAAGGUGCCCUAAAUAAUAUUAAGUGAAAAUAAGAGAGUUUUGUGUUCAAGACAGCUAUGAAGUAAGCUUGGAAGUAGCUAUCUUUUAAUGAAAGUGUAACAACUCAAUAGUCGAUUUUCUGGACACAAAGCAUCGAAGAUUUAUCGGGUCUAGAUAUUAAACCUAAAUUAUGAUAUUAAUGAAUUAAUUAGAUUACUAUUUAAUUCUUAAUAAGGUAGCAGAACACUUAGUAGUUAGGUUGAAGAAUAUUCCUAAGAAUAUUUGGACUCUACUAAAGAGAGAAUGCUGGCAUGAGUAACGAUUAAGAAGUUAUAAUACUUCUCGCCGAAUACGAAAGGUUUUCAUGAAAAAGGUAAUCUGUCAUGAUUUAAACGGAUUCUAAGGUGUAAUAUACGAAUUGUUGUUACCCGAUGAAAUAGAAGAAUACUAUUCCUGAAAUCUAAGUAAGGAACAAGAAAAAUAUUCUUUUAAUUUAAUUAUAUCCGUACCUUAAACCGACACAGGUUCGUAGGUAGAGUAUACUAAGGCGUAGAGAUAAGGCUAGUGAAGGAACUCGGCAAAAUGCUUCCGUAAGUUCGACGAUAAGGAAGGAGUGUAUAUAUAUCAUAUACACUUAGCAUAAAAGUGGGGGCUUCGACUGUUUACUAAAAACACAGCAACUUGCUAAGACUAGAAGUACUUGUAUAAGUUGUGAACUCUGUCCAAUGCCAAUCCGUGUAAGGGAGGUGAUUUUAGCGUUAGCUAAUUGUCACUAACUGAUGCGGUGGUCAAUGACGGUCUUAACCAUAAGGAUCUGAAAGUAGCGAAAUUCCUUGGCCAUUAAAUGUGGUCCUGCAUGAAUGAGGUAACGCGGCCCUGCUGUCUCCACUAGCUCCUCAGUGAAAUUGAAUUAGCCGUGCAGAUGCGGUUUGCCUUCCGGAGGACGCGAAGACCCUAUGCAGCUUUACUGUAAUUUGAUAUUGUUUUUGAUUAGAUCUAGUGUAGAAUACAAGGGAGUGUAAACGCCAGUGAAAUACCUUGAUAGAUCUUAAUUAGAAACUAAUUUAUCGUGCGUACCUUUUUCUAAGGAAAAAGGAGAUAAAAACAGUAUCAGAGGGUCAGUUUUACUGGGGCGGUAGCCUCUAAGAAAGUAUCAGAGGCCUUCAAAGGUAUAUUUAUAUUGGUCAGAAACCAAUGAGCAUCUAUACGCUCAUCAAAGUGUAAUGAUAAAAUAUGCUUGACUGAAAGACUGAUAGGUCGAUCAGCUACGCAAGUAGGACAUAGUGAUCCGGUGAUUCAUAAUGGAAUGAUCAUCGCUCAAGAAAUAAAAGUUACGCUAGGGAUAACAGGUUUAUCGUUUGCAAGAGUUCAUAUUGUCCAAACGGUUUGACACCUCGAUGUCGACUCAUCUCAUCCUCCAGGUGUAGUAGCUUGGAAGGGUUCAGCUGUUCGCUGAAUAAAGAGGUACGUGAGUUGG